CAGGUCAGGCGGGACUACCCGCUGAGUUUAAGCAUAUCAAUAAGC
Molecule: ribosomal RNA, 45 nt
Filed under: Hoya praetorii
Lineage: Eukaryota; Viridiplantae; Streptophyta; Magnoliopsida; Gentianales; Apocynaceae
Description: partial 28S ribosomal RNA
Source: RNAcentral